RNAcentral lists this microRNA (20 nucleotides) under Ananas comosus (pineapple). Its description in RNAcentral is "microRNA s0562_c73a". The record is from RNAcentral. Lineage: Eukaryota; Viridiplantae; Streptophyta; Magnoliopsida; Poales; Bromeliaceae.
AGAAUCAAGAAAGAGCUCUC